Molecule: ribosomal RNA, 504 nt
Filed under: uncultured bacterium
Lineage: Bacteria
Description: partial 16S ribosomal RNA
Rfam family: Bacterial small subunit ribosomal RNA
Source: RNAcentral
AUUGAACGCUGGCGGCAGGCCUAACACAUGCAAGUCGGACGGUAGCACAGAGAGCUUGCUCUCGGGUGACGAGUGGCGGACGGGUGAGUAAUGUCUGGGGAUCUGCCCGAUAGAGGGGGAUAACCACUGGAAACGGUGGCUAAUACUGCAUAACGUCGCAAGACCAAAGAGGGGGACCUUCGGGCCUCUCACUAUCGGAUGAACCCAGAUGGGAUUAGCUAGUAGGCGGGGUAAUGGCCCACCUAGGCGACGAUCCCUAACUGGUCUGAGAGGAUGACCAGCCACACUGGAACUGAGACACGGUCCAGACUCCUACAGGAGGCAGCAGUGGGGAAUAUUGCACAAUGGGCGCAAGCCUGAUGCAGCCAUGCCGCGUGUAUGAAGAAGGCCUUCGGGUUGUAAAGUACUUUCAGCGGGGAGGAAGGCGGUGCGGUUAAUAACCGCGCCGAUUGACGUUACCCGCAGAAGAAGCACCGGCUAACUCCGUGCCAGCCGCCGCGGUAA